MicroRNA precursor from Equus caballus (horse), 105 nucleotides. The record is from Ensembl. Lineage: Eukaryota; Metazoa; Chordata; Mammalia; Perissodactyla; Equidae.
AAGGCCUGGUGGGUGCACAGGAAGGGAGCAGUGCAGAUGCUUCUCCCUGGGAGGCUGGCCCAGGGACUCUGCCAUGUUCUCCAUUGUGCCUGCCUUGGGGUCAGC